GGCUUAGUGCUCGAAAGAGAGCCGUAACACAGGUGCUGCAUGGCUGUCGUCAGCUCGUGUCGUGAGAUGUUCGGGUUAAGUCCCGCAACGAGCGCAACCCUUGUCAUUAGUUGCUACGAAAGGGCACUCUAAUGAGACUGCCGGUGACAAACCGGAGGAAGGUGGGGAUGACGUCAAGUCCUCAUGGCCCUUAUAGGUGGGGCUACACACGUCAUACAAUGGCCGGUACAAAGGGUCGCAAACCCGCGAGGGGGAGCCAAUCCAUCAAAGCCGGUCGUAGUCCGGAUCGCAGUCUGCAACUCGACUGCGUGAAGUCGGAAUCGCUAGUAAUCGUGGAUCAGCAUGUCACGGUGAAUACGUUCCCGGGUCUU
RNAcentral lists this ribosomal RNA (371 nucleotides) under uncultured Hydrogenophaga sp. RNAcentral's name for it is "bacterial SSU rRNA". It matches the Rfam family "Bacterial small subunit ribosomal RNA", at positions 1006 to 1382 of the family's 1533-position model. Lineage: Bacteria; Pseudomonadati; Pseudomonadota; Betaproteobacteria; Burkholderiales; Comamonadaceae. The record is from RNAcentral.